This 397-nucleotide ribosomal RNA is filed under the name uncultured bacterium. RNAcentral's name for it is "partial 16S ribosomal RNA". It matches the Rfam family "Bacterial small subunit ribosomal RNA", at positions 360 to 774 of the family's 1533-position model. The record is from RNAcentral.
AAUAUUUCGCAAUGGAGGAAACUCUGACGCAGCGACGCCGCGUGAGCGAUGAAGGUCUUCGGAUCGUAAAGCUCUGUCCUAAGGGAAGAAACGGACGGUACCUAAGGAGGAAGCCCCGGCUACCUACGUGCCAGCAGCCGCGGUAAUACGUAGGGGGCAAGCGUUGUCCGGAAUUAUUGGGCGUAAAGGGUGCGUAGGCGGCCUUUUAAGUCAGAUGUGAAAGCCCACGGCUUAACCGUGGGACUGCAUUUGAAACUGGAGGGCUUGAGUAUCGGAGAGGGUAGUGGAAUUCCCAGUGUAGCGGUGGAAUGCGUAGAUAUUGGGAGGAACACCAGUGGCGAAGGCGACUACCUGGACGAAAACUGACGCUGAGGCACGAAAGCUAGGGGAGCAAACA